Molecule: ribosomal RNA, 699 nt
Filed under: Triticum aestivum (bread wheat)
Lineage: Eukaryota; Viridiplantae; Streptophyta; Magnoliopsida; Poales; Poaceae
Description: partial small subunit ribosomal RNA
Source: RNAcentral
AUGCAGGUGCCCUGUUUGGACGUCCUUGAACGUGUUUCAUCGAUUCUCAAGGAUCACGGUUUUUCUCCUGCUCCAGAAUGUGUAGACAUUAGAAACCUCUGCCCCUAUCAUGAUGUGUUGUCAAGUGAGGAAAUACCUAGAAAACCUGGGGAAAGUGUCGCAGACAGGGAAGCUCUAGAAAUGGAUUAUCUACGCACAGUAGUGAACAAGGCUGCAAGGAGGAAGAGAAAACCGAGACGAUGGGAGCACAAACUCGCCAGGAGAAGCUUCUUCCCAUGGUGGAGAUCGGUGUUAUCUGCCCGGUCUAAAGUCAAGAUCAUGCCCCACAAAUGGGCAUGUCCUUCUGAAUGCUUGGAUCUCAAGAUGGCUUGGAAUAAACCCGUUGAACGCCUGGAUGGCGAGACAGCUUCGAAGAAGGCAACCGCCCAGCAGGAUGGUUCUGCUGCUGCAGCUCCCGGCUCGAUGGGUCGAGUUCCCAUGGUAGUAUAUAGUAGCAAGCCCGGUGAGUUGUUUACUGUAAUACCGCUCGAUGAUAUACCCAAAUACAUGAGGCGACACAGAAGGCAAUCCAGAAGGCUGUUUAGUACAGCGGUUACUUAUCAGCCCAGGAUGGUGAUUGGUGCAGCGGUUAAUUCUCAGCCCAGACGGCUGUUUGGUACAGCGGCAUCGAUGCUGCUCAAAGUGCUGAAGAGGGCAUGA